This is a long non-coding RNA of Rattus rattus (black rat), 3099 nucleotides long. RefSeq lists it as uncharacterized. The record is from RefSeq and is a predicted model, not a curated record. Lineage: Eukaryota; Metazoa; Chordata; Mammalia; Rodentia; Muridae. The transcript has 2 exons.
UACCGUAUAAAGAUGUUAUAAAAGAUGUGUGUAAGAAGCAGAAUUAAAACACAAGUGUUUUUAAACGUUGCUUUGGGUAUUUUUCAAGAUGAAUAAGAAGAGGGAAUGUUUUUGAGUUGUUUAUUCCUGUGUCUAUAUGCAUAGAAUUAUAUACAUUAGUUAUUUCGAUAAAUUAUGCAUGCCUCCAUAGAACUGUGGCUUGGGAUACGUAAUAUAAGAUUCUCAUCAUACUCAAGGCCUGGAAAGGGAACAAUUUGCACUUUUCUUUAUUGAUCCCAUUCUUGUUGAUAGUAGUAGGAGAGAAUAUGGUUUUCUACGUGACCAUUUUAGCCAGUGUUUCCUUAGUCUUUUGCCCAUACAAAAUAGUAUGUAUGUAUGGACAAUCCCCUUGUUCUGAGAUUCACAGAGUCUGCAUUUAGGGAGAAUGCAGAGCUCUAGAAUUUCUGCGUUUCACUUUGUGUGCGUUAUAAAGCAUGAGAGAGCGCCUAUGAAGUCAGAUGCUCUAAUUCUGUAAAAACACAUCUGAGAUGCAGGCUUUGAUCAGAAUUUUUAUGACCAGGAGUAAAUAUUCCAACCAUAGCCUGUGUGACUUAUUUGACUAUGUAUUAGUCAGUGACAUACCAGACGUGUAUUUUUUGAUCUAUAAUCAAUAAAUCUAUUCCAAAUUUACAGUCAUAUUACAGAAAUUAAGACUUAAAAUGGGAUGGCUUUUCACGGCACAGGCAAGAGUGACUUUGGUGUUUUAACCCUAAUGCUUCACCAUAAAUUGUUUUCUCCAUUAUUAAAUCUACGAAUCUAUUUGAGCCUAGCAUGUGGAGUCUUUGUUCUGUUUUCCGUUGAGGUUGUUAUUAUAACGUAUGACUCGAAAUAUCAAGAAAUUCAAAGCAUCCUUACUGUUUCCUGAAAAAAACAUAUAAGAAUAUCAUCAAGACAGACUAUGUUUAAGUGUGUGUUGAUAGUUCAUCUUUUCAGAUUUUUUAGUGGCCUCACCCAUGCCAUUUGUGUAGACGCUUUGAAAUUUAAGUGUCUGUGUAUAUAAACAUGUCUUACGACUCCAAGUGAAAGAAGGAAAUAAAAACAGUGGAGUUUUUUUCUUUUUCUUUUUCUUUUUUUUUACUAGUAUUUAUCUUUCACUUCUGUUGGCUUCAUUCUUGUUGGAACUGAUUAUUUUUUAAAAAUCAGAACUUUUUCAGCACAAAGGACUCUACCCAUGUGUGUCUGUGUACACCACAGAACUUGAUUCUAUUGAAUAGAAGCCUGGCACAACUGAUCAGAAUGGUUCUAUUGAACAAAGCACCAUAUAGAGGUGUGUGCUUCCUGCCACCUGUUUUAUGAUCAUCAUAAGUGACAUGCACAGGAUGUUUCAUCAGUUGAAAUCCAAAAGAAAGCAAGGAAUAAUAUUCGACAGCUUUAACAAUAGCAGAAUAUUUAAAUACAAAGGUUUUCUUUUUAUGCUCUGUUAAUGAACUAUACUAUAUAUUAACUUAUAUUUCAUAAGAUAAAAAUACCAAAAUAAAUUUCUUGUCUCCAGAGCAUCAUGUGUUAUAUGUCCUAUAUCGUGCAACUUUGAAUAUUCUCUGUGCAAAGCAUGCGUGGUGAUAGAAUACUGUUCACAAAGCUUCUUUUCUUCCUUCAUAAAAGUGUGUGUGUGUGUGUGUGUGUGUGUGUGUGUGUGUGUGUGUGUUGUCAGACUUUGUUUCUAUAAGCUACUUUACACUGUAUGUGGAUGGAUGUGACUCUUUCUGCAUUUCUCUCUCAGUUGUCACCAGGUAAUGCGGUUCUGUGGAUUCGUAGUGUGACUUGGAAAGCCAGAUCCCUCUAAGCUUAAAAUAAAGGAAAAGAUAAACAACAAGGAGUGAGAAGAUGUGGGUUGCAUACAAAAAGCAGUGAUGUUAACAACCCGAUGGCUUCUGGAUUGGGAGAACAGCCUGAGCCAGACGCAUACAUUAAGAGCUGUCUGCUGCCCAUGUCCAAAUUUGCAGAUCAUUCUUGAAAUCUUCUGAAUAUUUUGGAAACACAAAAGUGAAAUGUAAGAGCCUACACAUUUAUAUUGUGAUUGCUUUCCUACCACAAUGAGAGGCUAAUGUUGAAUUGAAACAUUAUCCAAGUGAAGCCUUGCACUUUGUAUAAUUUUUGAUACAAUGUCUUUCUUAUAGUUGACCUCCAGAUCUUAGCUGGGGAGACAAUCUUUGCUACAUUCUUGCUUUGUUAUACAUCAUACUAAAACCAGCCUAUGCAUUUGUAAUUUUGAGGGAAAUGUCUACAUUAGACUAUAUAUAAUCUAUAUUUUUGCUGUUGUUCUUGAAGGAUUAUCACAGCCAGUUCCCUCCAUUUCUCUCUCUUCCUGGUGCCCCUGUACCCAACACGGAGCCCUUUCAACCUCUUCAAAGAAGUUGGGGUGGGGGAGUAGACUCUUUAUUAAUGGCAGAAAACAAACUGGCUGCUGGACUUCCGAGACAGCUCUCUAAUAAAGAAGCUGAGCGGGCUGUGUGACAAAGAAUUCCUGAAUUACUAAAUAUAUAGAGAAGCCUAUUUAAUUCAUCAGAGGGGCUUAGAGGACAGGCACACAAAGUUUAGAAUUCAAUUCAAGCCAUGCCAGAAAAUGAAAAUGUACUUUAAAAAGGAUUCCGAAGACAAUUGUUCAAAGAAAUGUCAACUUUUAAGGUUCUUUCUAGAAGAAUGAAUUUUGUUCUCUCAUUUUUUUGUGGCAACUUUUUCAAUUAAAGAGGAAAUGAUUAAUAGAAUCUCAAAGAAAUUGUAUCUUAUAGUUUAAAAACUGUGUUUUGUUUCCACAGGACCCAUUCUAGUGCGAAGCACCUAUUGCAUUCCCUAAACAUAACAACUUAUGUGGAUGGCUCACAGAAAUAAUUUUAUUUUUAUAGCAAUUAGACAUAACUGUCAUAGUGCUCAUAGUAUUUCAAAAGAAGAGUAUUCAACUUUUAUAUAAUUUCCAGCACAUUCAUACAUACAUAACUUUAUGAUUUAAUAUAUUUUACAACAAUGUAAUCACCUAAUUUCGAAAAAGUUGCUGAUGUUUUUUAACAGACCAUGUUUUUGGUUUUGUUUUUUAACAAGAUUAAAAACAUGAUUCUCACCUUG